RNAcentral lists this ribosomal RNA (424 nucleotides) under uncultured bacterium. Its description in RNAcentral is "partial 16S ribosomal RNA". It matches the Rfam family "Bacterial small subunit ribosomal RNA", at positions 360 to 776 of the family's 1533-position model. The record is from RNAcentral.
AAUAUUCGUCAAUGGAGGAAACUCUGUACGAGCAAUGCCGCGAGAGUGCUGAAGGUCUUAUAGAUUGUAAAACUCUGUUGUAAUGGAAUAACAACCGCUAGAGGAAAUGCUAGUGGUCUGACGGUACAUUACCAGAUAGCCCCGACUAACUACGUUCCAGCUGCGGCGGUAAUACGUAGGGGGCGAGCGUUAUCCGGAUUUAUUGGGUGUAAAGGGUGUGUAGGUGGUUUAUUAAGUCUAAAAUUAAAGCCUGGAGCUUAACUCCAGUUCGUUUUAGAAACUGGUAGACUUGAGUAUAGUAGAGGCAAGUGGAAUUUCUAGUGUAGCGGUUAAAUGCGUAGAUAUUAGGAGGAACACCAGUGGCGAAGGCGACCCUCUGGACUGCAACUGACGCUGAGGCACGAAAGCGUGGGGAGCAAACAGG